This 28-nucleotide non-coding RNA is filed under the name Rattus norvegicus (Norway rat). The record is from RNAcentral. Lineage: Eukaryota; Metazoa; Chordata; Mammalia; Rodentia; Muridae.
UUGGUAUCCUCUCUGUCGCUUGUAGUCC